RNAcentral lists this transfer RNA (77 nucleotides) under Burkholderiales bacterium. RNAcentral describes it as "tRNA-Arg". It matches the Rfam family "tRNA". From Rfam's summary of the family: Transfer RNA (tRNA) molecules are approximately 80 nucleotides in length. Their secondary structure includes four short double-helical elements and three loops (D, anti-codon, and T loops). The record is from RNAcentral. RNAcentral also lists the same sequence under 1 other name. Lineage: Bacteria; Pseudomonadati; Pseudomonadota; Betaproteobacteria; Burkholderiales.
GCGCCCAUAGCUCAGUUGGAUAGAGUGUUGGUUUCCGAAGCCAAAGGUCACAGGUUCGAAUCCUGUUGGGCGCGCCA